RNAcentral lists this long non-coding RNA (297 nucleotides) under Gallus gallus (chicken). Lineage: Eukaryota; Metazoa; Chordata; Aves; Galliformes; Phasianidae. The record is from RNAcentral.
GUGGGCUGCAGCAUGGCGGCGAAGGCGUGCAGGGGGGUUCGAGGCAUUCGGUCGUGUUCGCCCCGCUUUGUUCGCCUUUACCUUGGGGUGACGAAGUCUGUCUGAGGCCUUUCAGCACCGACUCUCACUCUUUGCUAAGACAUGGGCAGAAAGGUUUUUAUCUCCCAUUGGUGUCACCCAGAGCCCAGUCAUGGAGGUUGCCCUAGAAGGAAUAAUCUUACUUCACAGCUCAGCCACCAAUACUUAGAAGAACUGCUGAGAAAAAAGCCUGUGCAGAACUUCUCAUGUAGUACCGAG